AUGGUACUUGGUGCAUUCCUGCUCUUGUCUCUCUUAUUAGGAGGAUCUGUUGGGAAUACCAUAAAAUCCUUGAAUUCUUCAGUGGUCAUCAGUGAGGGAGAAAGUGUCACUUUCUCCUGUGACUACAGCGGUAAUGUCAAUAGUUUACAGUGGUAUCGGCAGUACCCCAACUCCAUACCAGAGUUCCUCUACUACAUACUUGAAAAUGGUUACCCUUCAGACCCACUUCCCCGUCUGACUCCCUCCAUAAGUAAAGAAGAAAAGCGUGUGUUUCUGGAGCUCUCCUCUGCAGAGGCGUCUGACUCUGCUGUGUACUACUGCGCCCUGGUGCCCACAGUGACAGGAACUCAGACUCUGCUUUGCACAAACCUCUGAGAUGUGCAGGAGGAGGGAGAUCCAACAUGUCCUCUUCAGAGACAGCAUUCAUUUGAUACACUCUGGCUAUUCAUUAUUCAUUCAUAUCCAGUACGCUGAUACAGGCUUGAACUCAUCA
This is a non-coding RNA of Sardina pilchardus (European sardine), 493 nucleotides long. The record is from the annotation of a RefSeq genome assembly. Lineage: Eukaryota; Metazoa; Chordata; Actinopteri; Clupeiformes; Clupeidae.